UGUUAUUUCAAGGCUGCGGAAAGCAGAGUAUUGACGAACUGUUGUCCAACUCGAACGAGGUGACCAUAAACUUCGUGACGGACGAGAGUGGACAACCACCAGGAUUCAGCCUCCAGUAUACAGGUGUUCCAAGCGACGAUAUCACUGGAGACACCAUCAUAGAAACCCCCGGUUAUCCAGACUACCCGCCCCGUGACCAGAUAUUCAAGUGGAAGAUUUUGCCUAAACAAAAUGUCAUUACCAUUGUACGUGGGAUUGCAUUCAACGGGUCCCUGCCUUGGUGCGGGGAAUCACCUGUAACGGCCAUCAACGAGAGGAACGAGGUGUGGAACCAGGAGCUGUGUCUGUCUAACUACGCACUCUUCUCCCCCGGGAACAUCACCCUGGUGUACAACGCCAGCACCGACACUAACCCCUGGGUGGG
Molecule: long non-coding RNA, 424 nt
Organism: Haliotis rubra (blacklip abalone)
Lineage: Eukaryota; Metazoa; Mollusca; Gastropoda; Lepetellida; Haliotidae
Exons: 3
Source: RefSeq, a predicted model, not a curated record